This 549-nucleotide long non-coding RNA is filed under the name Gallus gallus (chicken). The record is from RNAcentral. Lineage: Eukaryota; Metazoa; Chordata; Aves; Galliformes; Phasianidae.
AAGCCAUAUAAAACCAAUCCUACUGUCCAAAGCAGAGAGCAAACCAGUGUAGUGUGAGUAUUUGAUAACUUAUCUCAAUUUCAGCAAGUUGCGAACAUGUAAAGUACAGAUUUCUCAGACACCUCUGUGAUUUUAGGGUGGAGAGCAAACCCUCCCCAACAUUUCAAACAGAUCUUACAGUUACUUGAAAGUGCAGCCUGUGUUAUUUGUAACCAAAGUGUUUCUGUUGUUUCUCUUUCAGGAAAUUCAUGCUUGAAAUCUCUGUAGGCUAAAAAAGCGUACUCGGCCUGGUUAGAAAUCUGAGUUCCCAAGGCAGGCUGAAGAAAGCAAUGCCUUCACGACACAGCAGAAAGCCGUCCUGCCCCGAGGCUCUUCCUGAUGGAGCAGCAUCCCUACCCAUCGCCUGGUGCUCUGCGAGGGCUUCCAAUCGGAUCUGGCGGCUUUGUUCUGCUCGAUAGCGCCGUAAUGGGUCGUUUCUCCGACCUGCGCCGCGUGGGUAACAGAGGGGUCACGAAAGCUCCCACGUUAAGUCACCGGGGAUAGGAAUGA